AUUGAACGCUGGCGGCAUGCCUUACACAUGCAAGUCGAACGGCAGCACGGGUGCUUGCACCUGGUGGCGAGUGGCGAACGGGUGAGUAAUACAUCGGAACAUGUCCUGUAGUGGGGGAUAGCCCGGCGAAAGCCGGAUUAAUACCGCAUACGAUCUACGGAUGAAAGCGGGGGACCUUCGGGCCUCGCGCUAUAGGGUUGGCCGAUGGCUGAUUAGCUAGUUGGUGGGGUAAAGGCCUACCAAGGCGACGAUCAGUAGCUGGUCUGAGAGGACGACCAGCCACACUGGGGCUGAGACACGGCCCAGACUCCUACGGGAGGCAGCAGUGGGGAAUUUUGGACAAUGGGCGAAAGCCUGAUCCAGCAAUGCCGCGUGUGUGAAGAAGGCCUUCGGGUUGUAAAGCACUUUUGUCCGGAAAGAAAUCCUUGGCCCUAAUACGGUCGGGGGAUGACGGUACCGGAAGAAUAAGCACCGGCUAACUACGUG
This 486-nucleotide ribosomal RNA is filed under the name uncultured bacterium. RNAcentral describes it as "partial 16S ribosomal RNA". It matches the Rfam family "Bacterial small subunit ribosomal RNA", at positions 30 to 507 of the family's 1533-position model. The record is from RNAcentral.